RNAcentral lists this precursor RNA (1821 nucleotides) under Betula luminifera. RNAcentral describes it as "precursor microRNA MIR397a". The stretch from base 1381 to 1484 matches the Rfam family "MIR397 microRNA precursor family". The record is from RNAcentral. Lineage: Eukaryota; Viridiplantae; Streptophyta; Magnoliopsida; Fagales; Betulaceae.
UCAACUUAUCAAUCUUUAUAUUUUGUAAGUAUAUAUUUGUGCAGAAUUUCCAAGAAGAAAGAAGAAGAAGAUUGUGCUGUCUUGUGCUGCAUAUUUCUUGCCAAAGCCAUUGUAAGCGUCCAACUUCGGUGUUUUGAAACCUUGUAAUUUCUAUGUAAUGAGCGCGAUGAAGAAAAUUAUUUGUCAAAUGGUAUAUGUGACAUGAGAUUUGUAGCAUCAGACUGUUACGAUCUUAAGAGUUAAGGGUUGCUGCUCGUUUGAACAUAGUUGAAUUAAUUGUUGUGAUGGGCUGUAUUGUUAUAAAAUUUGCUAAUUUAGUAGAUUCCCUUGGCAGGCCUGCUGAACAUAGUAAAGGGCUUGCCUGCAAUCCACCAGUCCAUGAAUAGUAGUUCUUCUGUGAGAUUCUUGGCAGACAUUGCAUGUAAACUCACAUGUUAAGGUGUACAAAUUUAUAGGCCCUAUAGUUUGAACAUUUUUCUGCUUAGCAUGAAAGUUAUUGAGAAAAUCCAAAAUAAUUUUCUAUUUUUUUUGUGUGGAAAUCGAUGACUAAAGUUUAUACGAAAGUACGAUGUUGCUAAUCUGAUUCCAUACAUCCCCAUGAGUUGCAUGCCGCUGUGAUUGCAGAGCCUAGAAAGUGGAUAAUAGGGUUGGCUUUGAAGGUUGCAUAGAUCUCAGCUGAGAUGUGCUGCAUUGGCCAGGUUCAAAGUUUUGUGUCAAUCUCAAUUGAAUACUGCUGCUUAAUCCUUGUAAAUGAACUUUAUUGUAAAAUGAACUACUUUCCUUUUACGUUCUUCAAAAUAUGGUACCUCUUUUUAGAAGAACGUUAAUUGUACCGUAUUUUGAACAUAUGAAAUUACUGUUUUGACACAAAACAAAGGGAGCAAUAAAUAAAAAGAACUGUAGUGUUUAAGCAAAUCUGUUUCUCGAGAAGCUCAAUAAACUCAUUUAUUUCUGGCCCCAAUAAUGCAUGAUAAAUCCAAUACGUUUCAAACACCACAUCCCUGAAUUUUGGGAAUAAGAUUCUUACCAUUUCAAAUAAAAUGGGAAGUGAGAUUUUAUUUUAUUACAUUUAAUGGUAUGUAUAAUGCCAGGUAAUAUACAAAUUGGGACAAUUUUGUGGCUCCGGACUUCUUGACCUACGACCGUACGCCAAUUCUUGAAGACUUGCUUGUUGGUAUCUAUUUCCUGCAAAAUGGCAUAUUGAGAACGUUACAAGGAAGCCAAUUUUCAUUGCUCUCUGAACAACGAUUUUCCAGAUUCGUUCUUCCCGGACAACUAAUGGAGCCUCAAAAAUCAAACAAGGGAAAGAAACAGAUCUAGAAAGAACCUGUCGUUUAACGUUCUCCGGCCGGUAGGUAGCUAGCAGUUACUGUCAUCCCGUAUAGAAACAUGAUUGAGUGCAGCGCUAAUGAAACUGUCCCAUAAACGACAAUAGGAUUGAUAGGACUCAAUUUUCAUCAACGCUGCACUCAAUGAUGUUUCUCAAACUGGGGAGUCUCCCAUAUAUGCUUACUCCAGCUGCAUUUAGAUCCAAGCAUCUUCUUGGCGCAUUAUAUGUGUAAAUAUUAGCCGAUAGAUCGAAUGUAUAUAUAGUACUACUACGCGGAGUUGUAUUGAUUUGUACUACCAAUUUUACAAUUUGCCAGAUCAUUCAGAGAUUGUGCUGCUGUCCACAAAGGCUGCUGGACCAAAUUAAUAUUAAAAUGCUUUAUGCAGAUGAGAUUUGUACUGGUUAAUUGUACUGGAAUAUAUAUAUUGUACUACAUUUCCUCCCAAACCCCCCAACCAUCUCUUUCUUUUCUGGUAUACCAAAAUAUUUGU